AGCUACGUGAUAAGCACAGAGCGAACUAUUCUUUCGCCUUUUACUAAAGAAUAUCGUAUGCUCGUCACAUAAAGCAGUAUACAUCAAUUUUUGAAGGGUGCGCGUCGCAUAG
Molecule: small nuclear RNA, 112 nt
Filed under: Punica granatum (pomegranate)
Lineage: Eukaryota; Viridiplantae; Streptophyta; Magnoliopsida; Myrtales; Lythraceae
Description: U5 spliceosomal RNA
Rfam family: U5 spliceosomal RNA
About the family: U5 RNA is a component of both types of known spliceosome.
Source: Rfam by way of RNAcentral